Molecule: long non-coding RNA, 1630 nt
Filed under: Gossypium raimondii (Peruvian cotton)
Lineage: Eukaryota; Viridiplantae; Streptophyta; Magnoliopsida; Malvales; Malvaceae
Description: long non-coding RNA (GRAI_LNC000040)
Source: RNAcentral
GUGCUGGUUUUUUACUUUAAGUACUAAUAAAACAAUAAUAAUCUCAUGUAUCCACUAUCCAACAUGUGAAGGGAGAAAAAAGGGAAAGCCAAUCCAUUUAAUGGGCAAGGACUCUGCAACAGACUGCAACUCUCUGCGGACUUUGUUAGCCGCGGGUAGCACUCUCUCCAUUCCAUUUCAUAGCCCUGAAAAAGGUUUACUUUCUUUCCUUCUUUUUACUUUUUCUUUUUCAGCAACUUACUGCUUACCCUUUACUGUAAUCUUUAAUGGCUGUUGCCUGUAGUGGUAAUCUUUUAUUAUAUAAACAUCUUCUAUUUCAAAGAAUUUUAUAUGAGAUAUAUAUUACAUGACAAGUUGAAAUAAAUUUCUGCUCUUUUUCUUCUCUACUGUGUCACUGACGGAAAUUUCAUCAGUUUUCUUAUUUUUACAAUGCCUAUAUGAUAGUAGCUGUCUUUGUGUUUUUCGAGGAGGGUUAUGAAACAUCAUUGUAUUAAAAAUGCAGAUAUAUUUUAUGUAAGUAUGGUUCAAAGUUUAUAAUUAUUUUUUAAUAAAUUAGAAAAUAUAGUUUUGAAUAAAUAUAAAUAAUCAAUUUAAAUCUUUUAGUAAUUUUUAAUAAAUUCUAUAACUAAAUAUUUAUAUGAUAAUUAUUUAUUAUAUGGGAUAUCCUAGACUAGACAUACACAAACAAUACUUAAAAUAUCUUUUUAUUUUUUGCAUUUGCAUAUAAUAUUAAGGGGUUUUUUUAUAUUUAUUUCUGAUUAACAAAUUAUUAACUACUCAAAGUAUGCAUUAUGUAAUGUAGUGUUGUUUAGGGUUAAAUCUAUCAUCCAAUCAAUACUAGAGAGAUGGUAGGUGUUGUUUUGUGUCUGCAUCUUAUCUGCACACAUACGACAGGUUGUCAUAAAUAAUACAGUACACCCUGUUUAUAAUCAACCACGUUUUGCGAGCUCUAACUCUUUUCCUGUUUCUUUUUUGUUUUUUCCACCAAAAUCCUCCCCUUUGUUAUAUUAUUUUCCAAAACUGGUGUUCUGAUUAAGAUCAAGAUUGUAAUUGGAAGGUGUACCAUCUCCAGAUUGAACAUUUCAUAGCAUAUGAAAGGGUGGGCAGUAGCAGUGAAGAAAUCAUGCCUCCAUAAUGGCAUAGGGACCCAUUAUUUUUGUUUUUGCUAUUGCCUCUGAAUCUGAUGAGGUAAAUUGGAAAUCAAGAGCCACCAAUCAAAAACUACGUACCCCACUCCAUAUAAACAUCAGCGUCAGAGAAGAUAAGCUCAACAUGGGAGGACGACAAACUACCGCCUGGGUUACCUAAGCCAAGACACCCAAACAUUGACUCAUUGUAACCCAAUAUUUGCUUCUUUCUGCAAGGAAACCGACAUCUCCAUAACUCAUCUCCAUCUAAUUUGCAUUCAACGGUUGGAUCUUGUGACCAGUGUCUGUACAUGAAUUGAGUUCCAAGAGAAAUAUAUAUAUAUUCCGUCCCCUUAAUUUUUUUUAUGCUGUUACUAUCUUUGUUUAUGAUUCCUUUUAACUUUUAAAUUAGACAAAAAUUAUAUAAUUGAAUGUAUUAUAUCUUUUUCAUUAUCUUUAUCCUUUCAAUUGCAAAUAUGUGAACAAGUUAGUGCUCAACUCGC